UAUUUUGGAUGGGGUGCGGAGGUUUAUGCAGGUUUUUGGUGUAAUGUCGAGUCGGACACACGUCAAGAUACAACACACGUUUAUUCAAGUCCGCUUACAGCAUCGGUCUGCAGGACACUACAGUAACUAGCAGCCACACAGACUGAAAUACGUAGGCAAGUUCUUGGUAAUAUAGGCGGAGCAACUACUAACAAGCACUACAAUUCGUUAGUAGGAAAUAACCAAUCUACAUCUUUCCUUGCAGAAACAAAAUGAAGCAUAGAUACGUGGAAACAUGGUGGCUAACCAAUAUGGUAGCCCAUUGGAAUCUACAACCAAUCUACAUUUGUCCCUGCUCUCAAUGCUAUCACCGAGUAAGCCUCCAUCCUUAUUCAGACCAUCGCUACUGAUCAGCAACGCAACUGAACCAGCCAUAUCCACACUGUGGCAUCAAGAGCAGAUCAGAAGCUGGACGUUCAGAAAUGGUUAAUUCACCUGCUGAUUUUUUCCCCAAACCUACUCUGCCAAAUGCAAUGCCCGGGGCAGCAGUCUGAUAAAAAUACUCCCCACUUGCCUGGCUUGGUGCCACGGGGAACAAAUCCAUAAAGUGCAACAUAAUUCAGGACAAAGCACCUGAAUAGUCGGCACCUAAGAAUUAAUUCCAGGUAUCACGUUCACAUUGCGGCUGCAGUGCGUACAAACUGAGUGACGUUGACUCACCAAGGCUACUUUGACAGCAUUUCCCAAUUCCACCACCUCAACCACGAAGAAAGACAAAGACAGUUGGCCACACCACCACUUGCUGGUUCCCCUUCACUUCACACACGUUGAGAUGCUGGAACACCCCCAUCCAACCGCAUUGAGAGAUUCUUCCCCACAUGGAACACAGCAGUUGAAGAGGUGGCUCACCAGCGCCUCCUCAAGGACAAUCAGGGAUGGACAAUAAGUGUUAGCCAUGCCAGUGAUGCUGGCUCCCCACGUAUGAACAAGUAAUAAAAGCCUUGUGAUUGA
Leucoraja erinaceus (little skate) is the source of this 990-nucleotide long non-coding RNA. RefSeq lists it as uncharacterized. The record is from RefSeq and is a predicted model, not a curated record. The transcript is spliced from 2 exons. NCBI's taxonomy places the organism in Eukaryota, Metazoa, Chordata, Chondrichthyes, Rajiformes, Rajidae.